GAUGAACGCUGGCGGCGUGCUUAACACAUGCAAGUCGAACGAAUUUUAAGGAGCUUGCUCCUUAAAGUUAGUGGCGGACGGGUGAGUAACGCGUGGGUAACCUGCCCUAUGCAGGGGGGAUAACGUUUGGAAACGAACGCUAAUACCGCAUAAACUAUGGAGGUUCGCAUGAGCCUUAUAGCAAAGAUUAUAUCGGCAUAGGAUGGACCCGCGUUGGAUUAGCUAGUUGGUGAGAUAACAGCCCACCAAGGCGACGAUCCAUAGCCGGCCUGAGAGGGUGAACGGCCACAUUGGGACUGAGACACGGCCCAAACUCCUACGGGAGGCAG
This 329-nucleotide ribosomal RNA is filed under the name uncultured Bacillota bacterium. RNAcentral's name for it is "bacterial SSU rRNA". It matches the Rfam family "Bacterial small subunit ribosomal RNA", at positions 28 to 351 of the family's 1533-position model. The record is from RNAcentral. Lineage: Bacteria; Bacillati; Bacillota.